UACGUAUGGUGCAAGCGUUAUCCGGAUUUACUGGGUGUAAAGGGAGCGUAGGCGGCGCGUUAAGUCUGAUGUGAAAACCCGGGGCCCGACCCCGGGAGUGCAUUUGAAACUGCCAUGCUGGAGUGCCGGAGAGGUAAGCGGAAUUCCUAGUGUAGCGGUGAAAUGCGUAGAUAUUAGGAGGAACACCAGUGGCGGAGGCGGCUUACUGGACGGUAACUGACGCUGAGGCUCGAAAGCGUGGGGAGCAAACAGG
This 253-nucleotide ribosomal RNA is filed under the name uncultured Lachnospiraceae bacterium. Its description in RNAcentral is "partial 16S ribosomal RNA". It matches the Rfam family "Bacterial small subunit ribosomal RNA", at positions 524 to 776 of the family's 1533-position model. The record is from RNAcentral. Lineage: Bacteria; Bacillati; Bacillota; Clostridia; Lachnospirales; Lachnospiraceae.